Molecule: long non-coding RNA, 668 nt
Organism: Rhincodon typus (whale shark)
Lineage: Eukaryota; Metazoa; Chordata; Chondrichthyes; Orectolobiformes; Rhincodontidae
Exons: 3
Source: RefSeq, a predicted model, not a curated record
CUUGUUUCCUUUGAAAGUUACACCUCAUCGGAAACGGAGCUCAUCUCUGUAAGACCAAAAGCACGUGAGAGCGUUUAACACCUCUCUCAUCAUGUUGAGUCACUGUUCACUGAUAUAAAAAGCAUAUCAAUCCUCUUCAAAUCAACUGAGAUAUUUGUUGGCUGAACCUUUGGCUGACAUGAUCCUAAAGAUAAUGUUUUCUGCAGGAAACCAAUUCACAGAAGAUGCUGCCAGAUCUGCUGCGUUUUUCCUGCGUUUGCUGGUUGUUAUUAUUAUAAAUUACCAUUUCAUAAUAAGCACGAAGCCAGACAGUACAUGGACAAUUUAGCUUGCCUGGCAGUAAUUGAAAAAUGUCUAAACUAGGUUUUCUACUCAUCCUUCAUAGGUGGCUUGCUAAUAUUGAUUACAUGAUAACAACUGCAACAUUUAAAUGUUGAUAUUCUGAGAUUGCAGAUCUUGCCUGUCAAUUGCAUGGUUGCCUAAUAUCUGUCUUAGUAGGUGAAACUCCCCAUCAGAAAUGGGAACUCAAAACAUUUUCCUCAUUACUUCUGGUUUGGGAUGUGGAAGAGGAGAAGAUGACUGAAGGUCAUAAUAGUUAACAUCAUAAAUAAAGCAAUAUUAUUUCUCUUUUGUCUAAAAUAGUUGACACAAAGUUACAGAGAUCGACA